UGCACGAUAGUCGUUAAUUUGUAACGUAAGGUAUUGGGUCAAGUCCUACAAUGAGCACAACCCUUGUGUCUAGUUGCCAAUGUUGAGUUUGGAACUUCAACGGACUAUUGUUGAUAAGCCGAAGGAUGGUGAGGAGGAUGUUAAGUCAUCAUG
Molecule: non-coding RNA, 153 nt
Filed under: Macleaya cordata
Lineage: Eukaryota; Viridiplantae; Streptophyta; Magnoliopsida; Ranunculales; Papaveraceae
Description: Bacterial small subunit ribosomal RNA
Rfam family: Bacterial small subunit ribosomal RNA
Source: Rfam by way of RNAcentral